UGCCUGGAGGAUCCAGCUGUGCCCCCAGAUGUUGAGGGCCCCCAGGAACACCUUCCCUGCUCCUGAAAUGCCCCAGAUGUGAUCGGGGAGGGGCCAGAUCCAGAUGUUGGGGACCUGAAAAUGCCCAAAGUACCCCAAAACACCUCAGAGGCUCCAGAUGUGGCAGCAGAAACCCCAAAUCCAGAUGUGCUAUGGGCCAGAAAUGGGCACCGGACGCUGCAGGUGGACAGUGACACAGAUGUGGAGGAGGAGGGGCCAAGCCCCGAUGCUGGGCCACAGAAAUGGCUUAAAAUGACCCAAACUGUGCCUGAAACUCCAGAUGUGAGGCUAAAAACCCCAAAUCCAGAUGUUCCAUGGCUUAAAAGUGGGCGUGGCACGCUGCUGGUGGAGAGCGACACAGAUGUGGAGCAGGAGGAGGCCGAUCCAGAAGUGGAGCCCCCAGAACGGCUGAAAAUUACCCAGAACAUUCCGGAAACGCCAGAUGUUGCAGGAAAGACCCCAAAUCCAGAUGUUUCAGGCCCAAAAGUACGACACAGGAUGGAGCUGGUGGACAGUGACACAGAUGUGGACGAGGAUCCAGAUGUGCAGCCCCAGAAAAGGCUUAAAGUGACCCAAAACGUGCCUGGAAUUCCAGAUGUGGAGGCGGAAACCCCAAGUCCAGCUGUGAGGGCGCCCAAAAUUGGACACUGGGUAAUCCUGAUGGACAGCGACACAGAUGUGGAGGGGGAGGAGGAGAAUCCAGAUGUGCAGCCCCAAAAGCAACUCAGAAUGCCCCAAAAUGUGUCCGAAACUCCAGAUGUGGCAGCCAAACUCCUGAAUCCAGAUGUUUCGGGCCCAAAGCUCCAUUCUCAGAUGCUGCUGGUGGACAGUGAUACAGAUGUGGAAGACGAAGUGAACCCAGAUGUGCAGCCCCCUAAAAGGCUCAAAGUGACCCAAAACGUGCACAGAAAUCCAGAUGUGGAGGUGGCGACCCCAAAUCCAGCUGUGGAAAGCCCCAAAAUUGGCCACCAGACACUGGUGGAGGACAGCGACACAGAUGUGGAGGAUGAUCCAGAUGUGCAGCCCCCAAAAAGGCUCAGAAGGACUCAGCACUUGCCCAAAGCUCCAGCUGUGCGACGGGGAACGCAAAAUCCAGAUGUUCCAGCCCCCACAAUCAGGAGUCAGAUGCUGCUGCUGGACAGCAACACAGAUGUGGAGGAGGAUCCAGAUGUGCAGCCCCUGAAACAGCUCAGAGCGGCCCAAAACGUCCCCAAAACUCCAGAUGUGGCUGCGAAGCCCCCACAUCCAGAUGUUUCAGGCCCUGAAGUCAGGUGCCAGGCAUUCCUGGUGGACAGUGACACAGAUGUGGAGGAGGAGGUGAGUCCAGAUGCUGAGACCCUAGAAAAGCUCGGAAUGACCCAAAAUGUGCCUGAAAGUCCAGAUGUGGUGGCACAGACCCCAAGCCCAGAUGUUGGAAUGACCCAAAAUGGGUGUCGGGCACUGCUGGUGGACAGUGACACAGAUGUGGAGGAGGAUGAGGUGAAUCCAGAUGUUCGUCAUUCAAAAAGAUGGAAAAUUCCUCAAAAUGUGCCCCAAACUCCAGAUGUGCCCCCACAGCCCCCAAAUCCAGCUGUGAAGAGGUCACGGAGGGGUCACGGGGCGCUGCUGGAUGACAGCGACACAGAUGUGGAAGAGGAGGCAAAUCCAGAUGUUGGAUCCUUAAAAAGAUUGAAACCAGCCCCAAAUGUGCCUGAAACUCCAGAUGUGAGGUUGAAAAAUCCAGAUGUUGGGAGGCUCCAAGAGACCCAAACCGUGGCCGAGACGCCAGAUGCGGAGGGAGAGGAGGAAGGGUGGGAUCCAGAUGUGGCCACCCAGCUGUUCCUGCCCCCAAAUCCAGAUGUGGGGGAGGCCGAGGCGGACCCAGAUGUUGGGAGCCCAGAACGGCUCAAAAUGACCCAGAAGCCACCGGAAAUUCCAGAUGUGGAGGAGGAAACCCCAGAUCCGGGUGAGGAGGAAGAACAGGAGUCAGAUCCAGAUGUGGCCACCCAGCUGUUCCUGCCUUCUCCAGAUGCUGGGAGCCCAGAAGGCCCCAAAACGGCACCGAAGGACCCCAAAGUUCCAGAUGUAGAGGGGCUGCCCUCUCUGGAUCCAGAUGUGGCCACACAGCUGUUCCUGCCCCCGCAUCCAGGUGUGGAGGACAGCCUAAAUCCAGAUGUUCUGGGUCCAAAACAAUCCAAAAUGGCCUCAAAUGACCCCAAAAUUCCCGCUGUGAGGGCGGAGACCCCAGAUCCAGAUGUGGAGGGGGAGGAGGACUUGGAUGUGGCCACCCAGCUGUUCCUGCCCCCUGAUCCAGAUGUGCAGGGGGAAGGACCCUCAGAACCAGGUGCUGGGUCCCCAAACCCACCCAAAAGUCCCCUAAACCUGCCCGAAAUUCCAGAUGUGGACAUGGAGAGACCAAAUCCAGAUGUGGGAGAGCCACUGAGGGGCCACAGGACAUUGCUGGGGGAUGCUGAUCCAGAUGUGGGGAAGGCAGGCCCAAAUCCAGAUGUGGCAGCCUCAGAAAGACCCCAAAUGGCCCCGGAAGUCCCUGAAAUUCCAGAUGUGGAGGUGGACACCCCAAGUCCAGAUGUGGAUGGGCUGGGGAGCCCUGGCCUGAAUCCAGAUGUGGCCACCCAGCUGUUCCUGCCCCCUGCCCCAGAUGUGGAACCCCUGGAAAGACCCGAAAGGGCCCCGGACCAGCCCCAGGUUCCAGAUGUGGAGGAGGCGGCCCCAAAUCCAGAUGUGGAGGGUCCCCCAAGCCCCGCCCAGGAGGAAGCAGAAGCUCCGCCCACCCCGCAGGUGCGGCGCAGUCGGCGAUUGGCCCUGAGUGGAGGGGGCGGAGCCUCACGUGGCCCCGCCCACACCCAGAACGGGCAUGGUCAAGGCUCCAAGCCACGCCCCACACACAAGCCACGCCCCCAGAGGGGGCAGGACCAAUCAGCGGCAGUGCUUGAAGAGGCCACACCCUCUGUGCCCAUAAUAGGAAAUGGGCGGGGCUCUGUGUCAGCCCCGCCCCCAGAGGAGGAGGAGCCAACAGAGGGUGCCAAGCGCAGGCUCCGCCCCCGGGCAGCACCAGGCCCCGCCCAGAUCCGGGUAAGGACCAAUAGGAACCAGUACAGACCAGUACAGACCAGUACAGACCAGUACAGAGCCCUCCCAGCUGCUGUUCCUGGGACUGGUGGCACCUGGGCAUGUCCCCAAAAUGUCCCCAAGGUGUCCCCGAGUCCCCCAGGGAUGUCCCUGCUGUGUCCCCAAACCUGUCCCCA
Junco hyemalis (dark-eyed junco) is the source of this 3284-nucleotide long non-coding RNA. The record is from Ensembl. NCBI's taxonomy places the organism in Eukaryota, Metazoa, Chordata, Aves, Passeriformes, Passerellidae.